This 54-nucleotide transfer RNA is filed under the name Parabathippus shelfordi. RNAcentral's name for it is "tRNA-Ser". The record is from RNAcentral. Lineage: Eukaryota; Metazoa; Arthropoda; Arachnida; Araneae; Salticidae.
GACUUUAUUAUAAUUAUUUUGAAAGUAAUUAAUAAGAGAAUUUCUUUGAAGUCG